This 286-nucleotide ribosomal RNA is filed under the name uncultured bacterium. RNAcentral describes it as "partial 16S ribosomal RNA". It matches the Rfam family "Bacterial small subunit ribosomal RNA", at positions 179 to 465 of the family's 1533-position model. The record is from RNAcentral.
CUUUAAGUUUCAUGACUUUUAGAUUAAAGUUUUAACGGUAAAAGAUGAGCAUGCGUCCUAUUAGUUUGUAGGUGAGGUAACGGCUCACCUAGACUACGAUAGGUAGGGGCCCUGAGAGGGGGAUCCCCCACACUGGUACUGAGACACGGACCAGACUCCUACGGGAGGCAGCAGUAAGGAAUAUUGGACAAUGGACGAAAGUCUGAUCCAGCCAUGCCGCGUGCAGGAUGAAAGCCCUAUGGGUUGUAAACUGCUUUUAUACAGGAAUAAACUCUCGUACGUGUAC